This 73-nucleotide transfer RNA is filed under the name Vicugna pacos (alpaca). RNAcentral describes it as "tRNA-Ala (AGC) (tRNA-Ala-AGC-261-1)". It matches the Rfam family "tRNA". From Rfam's summary of the family: Transfer RNA (tRNA) molecules are approximately 80 nucleotides in length. Lineage: Eukaryota; Metazoa; Chordata; Mammalia; Artiodactyla; Camelidae. The record is from RNAcentral.
GGAGGGUAUAGCUCAGUGGUAGAGUGCAUGCUUAGCAUGCAUGAGGUCCUGGGUUCAAUCCCCAGUCCCUCCA